RNAcentral lists this transfer RNA (70 nucleotides) under Ovis aries (sheep). It matches the Rfam family "tRNA". From Rfam's summary of the family: Transfer RNA (tRNA) molecules are approximately 80 nucleotides in length. Their secondary structure includes four short double-helical elements and three loops (D, anti-codon, and T loops). The record is from Rfam by way of RNAcentral. Lineage: Eukaryota; Metazoa; Chordata; Mammalia; Artiodactyla; Bovidae.
UCCCUGGUGGUUCAGUGGUUAAGAAUGCCUGCCAAUGCAGGGGAUGUGGGUUCGAUCCCUGGUCUGGGAA